This is a long non-coding RNA of Erigeron canadensis, 880 nucleotides long. RefSeq lists it as uncharacterized. The record is from RefSeq and is a predicted model, not a curated record. The transcript is spliced from 5 exons. NCBI's taxonomy places the organism in Eukaryota, Viridiplantae, Streptophyta, Magnoliopsida, Asterales, Asteraceae.
AUUCAAUUCCAGAAUUUCAUUUAAGCGGGACGAGACACCUGAUUUGCGCCCUUUUUCAUCUUAAUUUCAUCUUUACAAAAGAGAGAGAAAUUUUGCCCUCCACUUUUGCUGCCUCACCACCACCACAAUAGAGAGAGAAAUUUUGCUUGAGCUUGCUGGUGUAAAUCUUUCUGCGCUAUUACCAUCUACAGCCAAGGAAUGAGCCAGGUUUGAUUGUUGAUCAACAAUCCGGAGAUGGGGAAACAGUGUUACAUAAGACUCUUGAUUACGGUUUGCUGACAACUAGUGGAUAGGUUUUUUGUAGUGAUAGGCUUACAAUGUUGCUGACCGAUUCACAGAUUAUCGAGACAGGAAGUUACACUUUCCUGAACAUGAAACCACUACAACACCAUGAACAGACCAUCAAAGCUACUUAUACGUAAGAAGCAUGAUGGAUUCAUAGGAGUCUGGUCAGUGGAGGUGGCAAAUGGAUGGGUUGGGUAUUUGAUCCAUUUCUUUUAACAUGUGGCCGUAAAUAUAGGAUUUUCUGAGCGAACUAGACUAAUGGGUCGAAAUUGCCACGUCUAUAAUGCUGCUACAUGAUGUUCGGAUAAACUGAGGUCAUCUGUAGUUUUGACUCAAGUUUCACAAAUUUGGUUCCAAAGACGGUGACACAUGAGAACAAGAGGAAAUCCUUAAGAAGGAAAGUAGCAAUGUGAUGAGUGAGUUGCUUCCAUUUAGGAUGGUUGAUUACAUGUUCUUUUGCAAUUGUAUGUAGCCAAAAGAGUUUAAUCUGACCAGGCGAUCAUAAUGUUUUUCGCCUCUCUAAACUUCUAUAUUACAAUGUGAGGGAUGACUAUAUUACGAUAGUUCUUUUUUAAUCAAACGUUUUCAUUUUAUA